AACGCAGCGAAGGGCGAUAAGUAAUGUGAAUUGCAGAAUUCAGUGAAUCAUCGAAUCUUUGAACGCACCUUGCGCUCCUUGGUAUUCCGAGGAGCAUGCCUGUUUGAGUGUCAUUAAUAUAUCAACAUCUUCAGUCUUUUUGCAUGUUGAGUUGUUGGAUGUGGGGGUAUUUUUUGCUGGACUCUAGAAUCUGAGGUCAGCUCCCCUAAAAUGUAUCAGCGAAACAAUUUGUUUACCGCUCAUUGGUGUGAUAACUAUCUACGCUAUUGACGGUGAAAGCACGUUUAGCUCCUAACAGUCCAUUAGCUUGGACAACCUCUUAUUAAUGUGACCUCAAAUCAGGUAGGACUACCCGCUGAACUUAA
RNAcentral lists this ribosomal RNA (365 nucleotides) under uncultured fungus. Its description in RNAcentral is "eukaryotic LSU rRNA". The stretch from base 1 to 113 matches the Rfam family "5.8S ribosomal RNA", at positions 42 to 154 of the family's 154-position model. Lineage: Eukaryota; Fungi. The record is from RNAcentral.